This 251-nucleotide ribosomal RNA is filed under the name uncultured bacterium. Its description in RNAcentral is "partial 16S ribosomal RNA". It matches the Rfam family "Bacterial small subunit ribosomal RNA", at positions 103 to 339 of the family's 1533-position model. The record is from RNAcentral.
CGGGUGAGUAACGCGUAAGUAAUCUACCUUUGAGCCUGGAAUAACCACGUGAAAACGGGGCUAAUACCAGAUAAGCUCACAGCAGGGUAAUCUGCCGUGGGAAAAGAAUGCCUCUGACUCAAGCAUUCACUUAAAGAUGAGCUUGCGUACCAUUAGCUUGUUGGUGGGGUAACGGCCUACCAAGGCGACGAUGGUUAGCUGGUCUGAGAGGACGAUCAGCCACACUGGAACUGAGACACGGUCCAGACUCC